Molecule: long non-coding RNA, 1023 nt
Organism: Sinocyclocheilus grahami
Lineage: Eukaryota; Metazoa; Chordata; Actinopteri; Cypriniformes; Cyprinidae
Exons: 3
Source: RefSeq, a predicted model, not a curated record
CAGGAUGUGAUGUGGCAGUUGGUAGUUGACCCACACUGCUUACUUUGAAUCACAGUUUGUCUUUAAGUUUCCACUUUAUCUUUUGUUCCAAUAAAUGCAAACUUGCUCAAACAGGUUUGUAGUGUCCCACACUGAAGUGUCUACAGAGUAAAGCAAGCCAUUGCAUUUAAUCAAAAAACUCCCAAGAAGAGGGAUGCAGGCAUGUGGUAGGCAUGUGGUAGGCCUAAUCAAGGCCUACAUUUGAAAUGAACAGGCCUUCAGUGGAUCAACAGCUUUCAAAGGAUUCUGCAAUUCAUCCAAUUUUGUGGCCCCUGCAAUCUAUAUUGUGAAUGUCAGCUGUCUACAGGAUCUAAUGUUACUCCAUCCUAUCUGUCUGUGGGGUACAAUCUGUUGGUGCUUCCUCUCGGCUGGCGGAGAAUGAGGAAAUCACACGGGGACAUCUGCGAGGACCUGUGAGACGCCAAGCACCUGAGCUCAACCAGAACGUCUGCUAUCAGGCUGUGUCUACACUGCGUGAUUACCACAACACAGAUAAGAAACCUUGUGAUUAUAAUAUUACAGCUGUCACAUUGACCCGCAGGCUUGAUGUAAACAAGGGUGUCGCUGCGCAGCUGCCGCUUUCUCUCGUAGUGAAAGUGUUUUGUGCAGUUGCAGGCGGUGCGUCAGAAACGUGCUGCGGCACGGAUGGUGUAAACAAAAGCAUUGACUAGAGUGGCUGCAGACGGUUGCAGUAAAGGUGUGACAGAUGCAUGAUGAUGGCGUGUGAAACCAGACCGGCACCAUCUGCGUUAAAAGCUAGCGUAUGGAAGCACUUUGGCUUCUGGCUGGAGGGGGAAAGACCCUGGACAAGAGCCACACUAUAUGCAAGUUGUCAAGCCAAACUAAAAUAUUGUGGAAACACAACAAAUAUGAGAAACCAUAUUACAUAUUAUGCUUAAGUCUGUAUUCAUUUGCUACAAGUAUGCUGCUACAGGCACAUGUUUCAUUUCCCGUUGGUUCUUUGUAACCUUGUUGUUGACUUGC